GACGAACGCUGGCGGCGUGCCUAAUACAUGCAAGUUGAGCGCUGACGGUUGGUACUUGUACCAACUGGAUGAGCAGCGAACGGGUGAGUAACGCGUGGGGAAUCUGCCUUUGAGCGGGGGACAACAUUUGGAAACGAAUGCUAAUACCGCAUAAAAACUUUAAACACAAGUUUUAAGUUUGAAAGAUGCAAUUGCAUCAUUCAAAGAUGAUCCCGCGUUGUAUUAGUUAGUUGGUGAGGUAAAGGCCCACCAAGGCGAUGGUACAUAGCCGACCUGGAGGGGUGAUCGGCCAACAUGGGACUGAGACACGGCCCAAACUCCUACGGGAGGCAGCAGUAGGGAAUCUUCGGCAAUGGACGAAAGUCUGACCGAGCAACGCCGCGUGGGUGAAGAAGGUUUUCGGAUCGUAAAACUCUGUUGGUAGAGAAGAACGUUGGUGAGAGUGGAAAGCUCAUCAAGUGACGGUAACUACCCAGAAAGGGACGGCUAACUACGUG
This 497-nucleotide ribosomal RNA is filed under the name uncultured bacterium. RNAcentral describes it as "partial 16S ribosomal RNA". It matches the Rfam family "Bacterial small subunit ribosomal RNA", at positions 28 to 507 of the family's 1533-position model. The record is from RNAcentral.